This 1300-nucleotide long non-coding RNA is filed under the name Numida meleagris (helmeted guineafowl). RNAcentral's name for it is "lncRNA (ENSNMEG00000020673.1)". Lineage: Eukaryota; Metazoa; Chordata; Aves; Galliformes; Numididae. The record is from RNAcentral.
GUUUAAAGCUGCUCAACACCAGGCUAUUAAUAUUGUUAUCUUGGUGGAACAUGUGACCCCAGAGUUGCUUCACAUUUGAAUUCAGUUAAAGGUCUGACAGUGGAAUAAUACAGACAUUAUCAAUAUGGUGCAGUUUGAUCCUGUUUUGAAGUACUUUCACAGAGAUGCACUAGAGUUUAUUAUUAAAGAUUUGCUGCUUUUAUUGAUCAGUCAUGCAGAUCACACUAUCAUCAUGAUUUUCUUUAGUUGUUAAGUAUUAAGGCACCUGCGUACAAGCAAUGCACAAUGAAAUGACUUUCCUGAGUCAGAAAUCUGGAAAGGAUUACUAGUGUGAAGGAUGAAGAACACACACGGAAUUGACUGCAGCUACAAGGAAGAGCACAUGGAUACUGAAAGCCUGAGGUUCUGUAUAUUUGAGGGAUGGAAAAAAUCAAGGACACCAGAUCUACCAACCUUGCAUAUUUCGAUGACAACAAGAGAGUUUUCAUGGUCAGUGAGUCCAUAACAAUGUCCAAAUGAAGUCCAGUCAAGGUGCAAAUAAGGAUUCAGCCCUGUUUAUAGGAGUUGACAAACAAAGCAUAUAGAGAUUCUUGGAUCCAAUAAGUGCACUGAGGCAUACUAAAGAAAUUGAUUUGAGAAAAGAAGUGUAGCCUCUGAUCAAAGAAUCCUGCUGAUAGAACAGAGCCAGCAAUUUUUCAUCUCUUGUGUCAAUGCUUUGAUCUACAAUAAGUACAUGCAAAAGAGAAUUUGAUGACACAUCACAAGUGCAUCUGCCUGGUAUCUUCAACUACAGGACUGUGUUGCAGAGAUCUGUCAGUUCCUGCUCUGAUGCUCUGGCAUUUUUGAUGCUUCUUUGAAAUAACAUGCUGUUGGACAUCAUAACUCCCUCCAUGAUGAAUAGCGUAGUCAUAUGCCAACUGUAUAGCAAGCAUUGCUUUAUGUUCUAUCAACCUCUGGACUGAUGAUUCCAGGCAGUUCUGGAUUGCUAUUUUUUUUAUUCCUUUCACAAAGACAUUGUGUGUGAUGACCUGAAUUAUAUCUUUGCGUGUUCUAAUUACUUUGAGGAUGCAUAGAUAUUCUUUGAAUAAGUAAUUGAGAAUUGGAACAGUCAAAUAAGGUCGGCACUACACAUACAUAUAUUCACUGAGUUUUUAAAUCAAAUAUUGUUGUGAAAACUAAUGACUGUACUGACAAAAUUGUCUUAGGAUGGAGUUCUAAGUGGUCUAACAAGUUAAGACAUCAUCAUCAUUAUGAACCAAAGUAAAAUUUAACCAGAUAAGUGGGCAGAUAAUCAGACCAC